CCUACGGGAGGCAGCAGUGGGGAAUAUUGCACAAUGGGGGAAACCCUGAUGCAGCGACACCGCGUGAGUGAAGAAGUACUUCGUUAUGUAAAGCUCUAUCAGCAGGGAAGAAAAUGACGGUACCUGAGUAAGAAGCCCCGGCUAACUACGUGCCAGCAGCCGCGGUAAUACGUAGGGGGCAAGCGUUAUCCGGAUUUACUGGGUGGAAAGGGAGCGUAGACGGCAGUGCAAGUCUGGAGUGAAAGGCGGGGGCUCAACCCCCGGACUGCUCUGGAAACUGUACGGCUGGAGUGCAGGAGAGGUAAGUGGAAUUCCUAGUGUAGCGGUGAAAUGCGUAGAUAUUAGGAGGAACACCAGUGGCGAAGGCGGCUUACUGGACUGUAACUGACGUUGAGGCUCGAAAGCGUGGGGAGCAAACAGGAUUAGAUACCCUUGUAGUC
Molecule: ribosomal RNA, 440 nt
Filed under: uncultured bacterium
Lineage: Bacteria
Description: partial 16S ribosomal RNA
Rfam family: Bacterial small subunit ribosomal RNA
Source: RNAcentral